CGAACGGGUGAGUAAUAUAUCGGAACGUGCCCAGUAGCGGGGGAUAACUACUCGAAAGAGUGGCUAAUACCGCAUACGCCCUACGGGGGAAAGGGGGGGAUCGCAAGACCUCUCACUAUUGGAGCGGCCGAUAUCGGAUUAGCUAGUUGGUGAGGUAAAGGCUCACCAAGGCGACAAUCAAUAGCUGAUUUGAGAGGAUGAUCAGCCACACUGGGACUGAGAUACGGCCCAGACUCC
Molecule: ribosomal RNA, 237 nt
Filed under: uncultured bacterium
Lineage: Bacteria
Description: partial 16S ribosomal RNA
Rfam family: Bacterial small subunit ribosomal RNA
Source: RNAcentral